CUCUGUGCUACAACAAAAUCGUGAAGGCGAAGGAGAAGAAGAGAAGAAGAGAGAGGGAGGAAGAAACGGCGCCGUGUUGAGGUUGGUAAUUUCCGUGUCUCUGUGUCUCUUCGCUUCUCUUUUCUUCUGUUGCUGUCUGAAGAAUCUGUGUUUUGUGUUCUGAGUGGAGAUAAGACUUUAAGAAGAGUGAAAGAUGGUGAUGGAUUCAUCAAAAUGGUGGUGGAUUGGAAACCACAACACGACUAAUUUCUCUCCAUGGCUUCACACUACUCUCUCUGAGUUGGAUGAGAAGACAAAGGAUAUGCUGAGAGUGAUCGAUGAGGAUGCGGACUCUUUCGCCGCACGAGCUGAGAUGUAUUACAAGAAAAGACCCGAGCUUGUUGCUAUGGUCCAAGACUUCUACCGCUCGCAUCGCUCCUUAGCCGAGAGGUACGACUUGCUGAGACCUUCCUCUGUGCACAACAAACACGGCUCAGAGAAGAGUAAUCAUGAGAAGUCAUCAACUUGGGAUGAGUCUUCUUGGUCCGAGGCUUGUGAGACUCAUGACGAGUACUACGCUGAGUCCGAAGUCGAUGACGGUGAAGACAAAUGGGUCGAUGAAGGUGAAGCUAGUGGAGAUUAUGGGAUGAUGAAGGAAGAGAUAGAGAGGCUGAGGGAAGAGAAUAAGGUUUACAGUGAGAUGGUGAGAGAGAAAGAUGAGGAGAAGAGAGGAGCUAUAAGGCAGAUGAGUUUAGCCAUAGACAUGCUCAAAAAAGAGAACUCAGAGCUCAAGAAAUGUUUUUCUUCCGUUGUUGCAAAGCAUAGAAAGGAACAGAUGUGGAAGCCAUUUGAGUUUAAGAAGCUUGAAGGGUUGUUUGGGAGAGUAGUGGGCAACUGGGUCGUCCCAAAGACAGAGUCUACCGCUUCCAGAGAGCUCAUGACUCUUUAAAAAAAAGAAACAGAGAGACUCGGGCAAAGACAGAGACGAGCUGUUCCACAUAUAGCUACCUUCCACAGGAGAAGUGAGCUAUUUCCUUUAGAUGUUGAUGAUUCUCCUUAUCGUGAGAUGGAUUGUCAGUGGAACUACUGAAGUCGAACCAACUCCAUAAAAUACAAAGAUGAACCAAGGAGAGGAAUAAACUGCAGAAAGAAACUUCAGGACCACUGUGUCUUCUUUGUAUUUGUUUUUGAGAACAAUAAUGUUAAUUUUGAGGAGGUAGACUAUAUGCAGUUUUGGUAUUCAUUUUGUAUGCAACUCCCAAUCAUUACCGUGGAAAAUAAUCAAACUUGAGCUUUUUCUUUAA
Molecule: RNA transcript, 1283 nt
Organism: Brassica napus (rape)
Lineage: Eukaryota; Viridiplantae; Streptophyta; Magnoliopsida; Brassicales; Brassicaceae
Gene name: protein NETWORKED 3A
Exons: 4
Source: RefSeq, a predicted model, not a curated record